RNAcentral lists this ribosomal RNA (912 nucleotides) under uncultured fungus. Its description in RNAcentral is "bacterial SSU rRNA". It matches the Rfam family "Eukaryotic small subunit ribosomal RNA", at positions 821 to 1722 of the family's 1831-position model. The record is from RNAcentral. Lineage: Eukaryota; Fungi.
CCCAGCGUUUCUUAUUUUUGCGGUGUUUAUAGGAACCCCGGUAUAUGAAUAAAAUAGGGUACUAGUCGGCGGGCACCCAGUUUUCCAACCUGUUCAGAAGGGGGACAUUUCUUGGACUCAGUUUGCAGGACUCACUUUCCUGCGAAAGCCAUUUUCCCAAGGAUUGUUUCUCAUUAAUUCCAGCACCGAAAAGUUAGGGGAAUCGAAGACCGAUCAGAAUACCGUCGGUAGUCUUAACCCAUAAACCUAUGCCCGACUAGGGAAUCGGACGGGUCUUAUUCAUGACCCCGUUUCGGCCCCCUUCCGAGACAUCAAAGUGCUUGGGCCUCCAGGGGGACGUAUGGUCGCAAGGCUGAAACCUUAAAGAAAAUUGACGGAAGGGCACCCCAGGGGGUGGAGCCUGCGGCUUAAUUUGACUCAACACGGGGAAACUCACCAGGUCCAGACACAAUAAGGAUUGACAGAUUGAGAGCUCUUUCUUGAUUUUGUGGGUGGUGGUGCAUGGCCGUUCUUAGUUGGUGGGGUGACUUGUCUGCUUAAUUGCGAUAACGAACGAGACCUUAACCUGCUAAAUAGCCCGCAUUGCUCCGGCAGUGCGCUGGCUUCUUAGAGGGACUUUCGGCUCAAGCCGAAGGAAGUUUGAGGCAAUAACAGGUCUGUGAUGCCCUUAGAUGUUCUGGGCCGCACGCGCGCUACACUGACGGGGUCAGCGAGUUCCUUGGCCGAAAGGCCCGGGUAAUCUUGUUAGCCCCCGUCGUGCUGGGGAUAGAGCAUUGCAAUUAAAGCUCUUCAACGUCCCCUAUGCUAGUAAGCGCAAGUCAUCAGCUUGCGUUGAUCACGUCCACUGCCCUUUGCACACACCGCCCGUCAAGAGCGAAUCGCGCCGCAUAAAUACUACUCUUCCCUAUAGGU